CCGAACUCGACAAAGCAACGUCAUUUCAAUUCAAAACCCUAGAAUCUCCUCUCCCCUCCGUUUUCUCCAAUUUUCGGCGAGAAUCGGUGAUCAUUUCCGUCGGCGAGUCUGCCGCCGUCGAGGAUUUUGUCCUCUCAGGCUAAAACUUAAUUGGAAGAUCUCCGUGAAUUGGGGUCACUCAACAAGCACGCAUGCAUGCUCGAGUUUUGAAGGAAUUUGAUCAUUGUCUUCCCAUGCUUCCAGAACAGAACUGCAAAUACAGUUGAGGAGAUAAUUACAAAUAUCAUGCGCGUCAAGUUAUAUGAAGGACUUCUCCAGUAUGACAGGUACUGUUUCCACAGGCAAGCUUUGAACUGCACCCAUCCAUUUUGUGGAAAACGAGUGGGAAAGUGUAAAUCACUUGAAUCUGGUGGUGGUUUGCUAACUUGUCUGACGAGCUCUUGAUUAUUCCUGGAAUUGGGGAAAAUAGAACAUAAGCAGCCGAAGGUUAUCGUUCUGAAUGUGCUUGAUGAGCUUCUCGAUGAGCAAUCGCCUCUCUGAAGCCCCGAGCUUGGUGACAUCAACAACCUUCUUCUUCUUCACCUUCUGAUCCUCACUGCUGCUUCCAUUCUCA
Long non-coding RNA from Asparagus officinalis (garden asparagus), 613 nucleotides. RefSeq lists it as uncharacterized. The transcript has 4 exons. The record is from RefSeq and is a predicted model, not a curated record. Lineage: Eukaryota; Viridiplantae; Streptophyta; Magnoliopsida; Asparagales; Asparagaceae.